CUAUACAUGACUCUGCGCAUAUCAAUAAGCGGAGGAAAAGAAACUAACAAGGAUUCCCUCAGUAACGGCGAGUGAAGCGGGAAGAGCUCAAAUUUGAAAUCUUGAAAGGUCACCUUUCACGAAUUGUAGUUUAAAGAAGUGUUUUCUGUUACGAUCGUAAUAUAAGUUCUUUGGAAUAGGACAUCACAGAGGGUGAGAAUCCCGUCUAUGAUUGCGAUUUGUAGCUUUGUGAUACACUUUCAAAGAGUCGGGUUGUUUGGGAAUGCAGCCCAAAACGGGAGGUAAAUUUCUUCUAAGGCUAAAUAUUGGCGAGAGGCCGAUAGCGAACAAGUACCGUGAGGGAAAGAUGAAAAGAACUUUGAAAAGAGAGUUAAAUAGUACGUGAAAUUGUCAAAAGGGAAGCGUUUAACACCAGUGUUGUUUUCUGAAAAUCAACCUCUGUUAGCUUUAUGCAUGUUUGUUUAGACCUAAUCAGCUAUCUUUCAUGUUCUAUUGUUUGCAGUGGUGCACUUUUCAGUUUACAGGUCAACAUCAGUUUUUUUUACCGUAAAAAAGUUAAAGAAAGGUAGCUCAUGGCUCCGGUCGUGAGUGUUAUAGUCUUUUUCCUAUGCGGUAGGAGAGACUGAGGUCUGCAGUGUAGGCUAUUUGGCUAGAUACUCAGGUGCUAUGUGAUACCAUUUCAUAAACGACUUGUUGAUUAUGUUUUGUCUAUUGCAUACUCGCUUGUACUAUCAUACCUACGCUUAGGAUGUUGAGUCGUAGAGCACGCAG
RNAcentral lists this ribosomal RNA (771 nucleotides) under uncultured Neocallimastigales. RNAcentral's name for it is "partial large subunit ribosomal RNA". The stretch from base 6 to 661 matches the Rfam family "Eukaryotic large subunit ribosomal RNA", at positions 24 to 664 of the family's 3401-position model. Lineage: Eukaryota; Fungi; Neocallimastigomycota; Neocallimastigomycetes; Neocallimastigales. The record is from RNAcentral.